RNAcentral lists this ribosomal RNA (460 nucleotides) under uncultured bacterium. RNAcentral's name for it is "partial 16S ribosomal RNA". It matches the Rfam family "Bacterial small subunit ribosomal RNA", at positions 338 to 795 of the family's 1533-position model. The record is from RNAcentral.
CCUACGGGAGGCAGCAGUGAGGAAUAUUGGUCAGUGGCCGGAAGGCUGAACCAGCCAUGCCGCGUGAAGGUCAGUGCCCUAUGGGCGUUAAACUUCUUUUGUGCGGGAGCAAUAAUGGUCACGUGUGGCCAGACGAGAGUACCGUACGCAUAAGCAUCGGCUAACUCCGUGCCAGCAGCCGCGGUAAUACGGGGGAUGCAAGCGUUAUCCGGAUUUAUUGGGGUUAAAGGGUGCGUAGGCUGUGAGGUAAGUCAGCGGUGAAAUGCCCCCGCUCAACGGGGUGAAGUGCCAUUGAUACUGCCUUGCUGGAAUGCGGAUGACGUGGGAGGAAUGUGUGGUGUAGCGGUGAAAUGCAUAGAUAUCACACAGAACACCGAUUGCGAAGGCAUCUCACGAAUCCGCGAUUGACGCUGAUGCACGAAAGCGUGGGUAUCAAACAGGAUUAGAUACCCUUGUAGUC